CUGACGGAGCACGCCGCGUGAGUGAAGAAGGUUUUCGGAUCGUAAAACUCUGUUGUAAGGGAAGAACAAGUACGUUAGUAACUGAACGUACCUUGACGGUACCUUACCAGAAAGCCACGGCUAACUACGUGCCAGCAGCCGCGGUAAU
RNAcentral lists this ribosomal RNA (148 nucleotides) under uncultured bacterium. RNAcentral describes it as "partial 16S ribosomal RNA". It matches the Rfam family "Bacterial small subunit ribosomal RNA", at positions 383 to 524 of the family's 1533-position model. The record is from RNAcentral.